Molecule: small RNA, 28 nt
Filed under: Bombyx mori (domestic silkworm)
Lineage: Eukaryota; Metazoa; Arthropoda; Insecta; Lepidoptera; Bombycidae
Description: ovarian small RNA-36475
Source: RNAcentral
UUACCCGAUUAGACUAGCGAGUAGGUGA